Long non-coding RNA from Megalopta genalis, 893 nucleotides. RefSeq lists it as uncharacterized. The record is from RefSeq and is a predicted model, not a curated record. Lineage: Eukaryota; Metazoa; Arthropoda; Insecta; Hymenoptera; Halictidae.
CUCAGGUGUGCCAUUGAAGUAUUGGCACAGUGCCAUUGUCAGUUCAGCAGCCACGUCGUCAAACACCUAUGGGAGUUGCAAGAAUAACUCCACGGACGACUUACCGUAACCCGGAAUGGAAUCACGUGUGUUCGUAUAAAUACCUUAGAAAUGCUGCCUUUCGGUAAAAGCUGCCGCAGAUUUUUCAUUUUGUGCAUUUUCUGAAAAAACAGUAUCCGAUCUCUCGAAAGGUGCAGCUGAUUUAUUAAUAAAGGCAGCACUUCUGUUGGCCAGAAUAGUAAAAGCUUCUGUUGACACUUUGCUUAAUUAGUAGUCCCUUAAGAAGAUGCAAGAAGCAUUUGUUAAUACACUGAGAUAAUUCAAGAAAAGAAUAAGAACAUUAACAUCUAUCAAUUUUGAAAAGAAGCUAUAAAUAAAUCUAGGUAAUAUAGACCCAUUGCAAUAUUUAUGCCAAUAAGAUAUUAACCAAACCACGUAACUGGCAGAAAAGUAAGAGACAGCUAAUGUGUGCUUUCAAUUAAGUAAUUUCGACACAUUUAAUUGAAGUGUGUGAAGUAGAUCCUGCAGGCGUGAGCUCAAACAUAAGCAAUAGAUGAAGAUCAUUCGUCGGACAGGAAGGAUACAGACCACAGUUUUUACCUCCUUGCAAGCCAGAUUGUGAAUGAUGGCAGAUCCGCGUGCCUGUAAGUCUGUUGAGCUUGAGAGCAACGCGUGUAUCGCCACUUUCGUUGUCACUCUGAUGUUGCUGAUGCUUUGGUUCUUGUGCUGCCAUAAUGAUAUGUACAGCAGCCACUCGGAGCUGCUGAGAUUCUCGAACAGGUUUGUUAACUGCAACGUAUAACAAUAUUCUUGUAUUUGAAGAUGUUAAUAUAAAUACAACUUCUUAUCGCUAA